CCUACGGGAGACAGCAGUGAGGAAUAUUGGUCAAUGGACGAGAGUCUGAACCAGCCAAGUAGCGUGAAGGAUGACUACCCUAUGGGUUGUAAACUUCUUUUAUAUGGGAAUAAAAUGUUCCACGUGUGGGAUUUUGUAUGUACCAUAUGAAUAAGGAUCGGCUAACUCCGUGCCAGCAGCCGCGGUAAUACGGAGGAUCCGAGCGUUAUCCGGAUUUAUUGGGUUUAAAGGGAGCGUAGGUGGAUUGUUAAGUCAGUUGUGAAAGUUUGCGGCUCAACCGUAAAAUUGCAGUUGAAACUGGAAGUCUUGAGUACAGUAGAGGUGGGCGGAAUUCGUGGUGUAGCGGUGAAAUGCUUAGAUAUCACGAAGAACUCCGAUUGCGAAGGCAGCUCACUGGACUGCAACUGACACUGAGGCUCGAAAGUGUGGGUAUCAAACAGGAUUAGAUACCCCUGUAGUC
RNAcentral lists this ribosomal RNA (460 nucleotides) under uncultured bacterium. Its description in RNAcentral is "partial 16S ribosomal RNA". It matches the Rfam family "Bacterial small subunit ribosomal RNA", at positions 338 to 795 of the family's 1533-position model. The record is from RNAcentral.